RNAcentral lists this transfer RNA (94 nucleotides) under compost metagenome. RNAcentral's name for it is "tRNA-Tyr". The record is from RNAcentral.
GACUGGUAGCUCAUUUGGCUAGAGCGCUUGAGGAUACGUCAAUGGCGACGUUGGCCGAUAAAAGGCUUGCUGGUUCGAAUCCAGCACCAAGUUC